This 1158-nucleotide long non-coding RNA is filed under the name Cebus imitator (Panamanian white-faced capuchin). Its description in RNAcentral is "lncRNA (ENSCCAG00000038249.1)". The record is from RNAcentral. Lineage: Eukaryota; Metazoa; Chordata; Mammalia; Primates; Cebidae.
GAUUUUCUGAUCUUUCCUACAAGGAUCUUUCAAAAGAGAUAAGUGGUAGGAAUCAAUACACAUCAUCUUAAUUACCAAAUACAGUUUAUUUUAUUGUAAGUCAUUUAUCUCUCAAUGGUCCUAAGACAAAUGCUCUGUCUUUGUGCUAAACUUUUCUAAAAUGAUGCGGAAACAUUUGUCGGAUAAUUCUAGCAUCCUCAGACUGAGUUUUCUAUCCAAGAUAUUUCGAACUAUGAGAAAAAUUUUCUCAAAUUUUUAGUUUAAUAUGUAGACUUACUUAUUUUAAAAUAUCCUACUGUCUAUAUAUCUUCUUUCUUUUGUGUUGCUUUUCUGUAAAUCACCGAUGGUAAUGGUAUUAGUUGUGCAAGGUCAGAAUUCUCCUCAGGCAGUUUUUGUAAUUAUAUUUGCAAUAUGUUUGUGUGUGUGUAUACAUACAUAUACAUAUGAUUUAAAUUGCAUUGUAGAAUAAUAAAAAAACAAAGACAUACAAAACAUGUAUAGAUACAGAUACAAAUACAAUAGGGUCAGACCCUUUUAAGCACAUGGGAGUCUCUGGUGACUUGAUAAAUCAUGAACAGGGGCCCUAGGGAUAUUUUAGGGGGCUAGAGGUUUACAUAUCAUCCAAUCAUCUAGCCACCUACGAUGAAAAUCUAGAGGCAUAACACUUUUUGGGGGGCCAUUUCUAUUUUCCACAUCUCAAAUUCUCCUUAUGUGACUUCUUAUUUACUGUCUCUUAACUAGCUUCUCAUCUGGUAAUCCUCAAAUCCAUCAUAUCAGCCAGAUGACCUCUGUAAACACAAGUCAGGCAUUGUCAAUUCCCUAUAAAAUUCAUCCAUAACUCCCUAUUUUUCACAGGAUAAAGGCAAACAGGCCCUGUGUUUGGGCUCUACUCUACAUCAUCAGCUGCAUCUUUUGACAAGACCAUCAUGAAGCUUCAUGAAUAACAUCCUCAGCCAUGAACCCAGAACAAAUAUUUUUCUUCUGUUAAGAGUACCUAAGAAUGACAAGACUGGCACACGUGAGAGGAGCACAAGGGCUUUGCUGAGAGAAAAGUUUGUGCCACCACUGCAGAGGUGCCUUAAGCCAGUCGAACACUUGCAGAGUACAGUUGGCCUUAAGAAAACCUUAAAUUCUGAAUUCUUAAAGACUAUGUGCAGA